Molecule: small nucleolar RNA, 139 nt
Filed under: Setaria italica (foxtail millet)
Lineage: Eukaryota; Viridiplantae; Streptophyta; Magnoliopsida; Poales; Poaceae
Also listed under: 1 other name
Description: Small nucleolar RNA Z247
Rfam family: Small nucleolar RNA Z247
About the family: Z247 is a member of the C/D class of snoRNA which contain the C (UGAUGA) and D (CUGA) box motifs. Most of the members of the box C/D family function in directing site-specific 2'-O-methylation of substrate RNAs.
Source: Rfam by way of RNAcentral
ACCGUCAAUGAUGAUGAGGUUGUUGCUCAUAUACUUAAUGGUUUAGACUUUGAUUAUCACCCUUUUGUCUCUUCCAUGAUGGGCUGGACAGGAGAACUCUCGCUGUCCAAGUUAUAUUCACUUCUCAUGGAGUAUGAUC